Molecule: long non-coding RNA, 406 nt
Filed under: Felis catus (domestic cat)
Lineage: Eukaryota; Metazoa; Chordata; Mammalia; Carnivora; Felidae
Description: lncRNA (ENSFCAG00000045796.2)
Source: RNAcentral
ACUCGCAAAUACAUCACCUCCACGGAGGCUGACUCAUGAAAUUAGAACACAACAUCAUAAAGGAGCAGAGUGAAGGAGAGCUAGACUAGAACCACUUCCUGUCACUAAGCAUUCCAGCCCAUUGGUUCUUUCCUUGCUGACCAUGCCACAGUGGACCAGCAGAGGCUCUGCAACCUUCUGAAGUCUAAAGGAAGAAGUUCAAAAAGAGGAGGAAGUGGGUAGUUCAUUUCCUGUUUCCGGGUGCCUCUUAAUGACUGUGUGAGAGCUUGGAUCACUUCUCCUCUCUGGUUCCCAAACCACAAAUGGGAAAAACUGCCGUCCUGCAAUAGCCAUGGAGAAGAAAUGGCUACAGCUGAACCAUGAUACAGUCUUAGUCCAUCACCCAAAGGGUAAACCACCAAUCUGA